GAGGAAAAGAAAUCAACCGAGAUUCCCCCAGUAGCGGCGAGCGAACGGGGAGGAGCCCAGAGCCUGAAUCAGUGUGUGUGUUAGUGGAAGCGUCUGGAAAGGCGCGCGAUACAGGGUGACAGCCCCGUACACAAAAAUGCACAUGCUGUGAGCUCGAUGAGUAGGGCGGGACACGUGGUAUCCUGUCUGAAUAUGGGGGGACCAUCCUCCAAGGCUAAAUACUCCUGACUGACCGAUAGUGAACCAGUACCGUGAGGGAAAGGCGAAAAGAACCCCGGCGAGGGGAGUGAAAAAGAACCUGAAACCGUGUACGUACAAGCAGUGGGAGCACGCUUAGGCGUGUGACUGCGUACCUUUUGUAUAAUGGGUCAGCGACUUAUAUUCUGUAGCAAGGUUAACCGAAUAGGGGAGCCGAAGGGAAACCGAGUCUUAACUGGGCGUUAAGUUGCAGGGUAUAGACCCGAAACCCGGUGAUCUAGCCAUGGGCAGGUUGAAGGUUGGGUAACACUAACUGGAGGACCGAACCGACUAAUGUUGAAAAAUUAGCGGAUGACUUGUGGCUGGGGGUGAAAGGCCAAUCAAACCGGGAGAUAGCUGGUUCUCCCCGAAAGCUAUUUAGGUAGCGCCUCGUGAAUUCAUCUCCGGGGGUAGAGCACUGUUUCGGCAAGGGGGUCAUCCCGACUUACCAACCCGAUGCAAACUGCGAAUACCGGAGAAUGUUAUCACGGGAGACACACGGCGGGUGCUAACGUCCGUCGUGAAGAGGGAAACAACCCAGACCGCCAGCUAAGGUCCCAAAGUCAUGGUUAAGUGGGAAACGAUGUGGGAAGGCCCAGACAGCCAGGAUGUUGGCUUAGAAGCAGCCAUCAUUUAAAGAAAGCGUAAUAGCUCACUGGUCGAGUCGGCCUGCGCGGAAGAUGUAACGGGGCUAAACCAUG
Molecule: ribosomal RNA, 938 nt
Filed under: Escherichia coli
Lineage: Bacteria; Pseudomonadati; Pseudomonadota; Gammaproteobacteria; Enterobacterales; Enterobacteriaceae
Description: partial 23S ribosomal RNA
Rfam family: Bacterial large subunit ribosomal RNA
Source: RNAcentral